AUUGAACGCUGGCGGCAGGCCUAACACAUGCAAGUCGAGCGGAUGAAGGGAGCUUGCUCCUGGAUUCAGCGGCGGACGGGUGAGUAAUGCCUAGGAAUCUGCCUGGUAGUGGGGGAUAACGUCCGGAAACGGGCGCUAAUACCGCAUACGUCCUGAGGGAGAAAGUGGGGGAUCUUCGGACCUCACGCUAUCAGAUGAGCCUAGGUCGGAUUAGCUAGUUGGUGGGGUAAAGGCCUACCAAGGCGACGAUCCGUAACUGGUCUGAGAGGAUGAUCAGUCACACUGGAACUGAGACACGGUCCAGACUCCUACGGGAGGCAGCAGUGGGGAAUAUUGGACGAUGGGCGAAAGCCUGAUCCAUCCAUGCCGCGUGUGUGAAGAAGGUCUUCGGAUUGUAAAGCACUUUAAGUUGGGAGGAAGGGCAGUAAGUUAAUACCUUGCUGUUUUGACGUUACCAACAGAAUAAGCACCGGCUAACUUCGUG
Molecule: ribosomal RNA, 484 nt
Filed under: uncultured bacterium
Lineage: Bacteria
Description: partial 16S ribosomal RNA
Rfam family: Bacterial small subunit ribosomal RNA
Source: RNAcentral